This 853-nucleotide long non-coding RNA is filed under the name Marmota monax (woodchuck). Lineage: Eukaryota; Metazoa; Chordata; Mammalia; Rodentia; Sciuridae. The record is from RNAcentral.
CUGAAAGGAUAAUGGUAGAAUCAUUUGAUAAAGAGAUCAUUGUCAGGGGGACAAAUAGAUUAAUUAACCAUUUUAGGAAAAUCUAGGAGUAGAGAUUGAAUUAUACAAUCAGAAACUGCCAAUAUGAAAUAAUUGUGGUACAGAAAAAAACAGAGGAAAUAAAGGAGGGCUGUCAGAAUUCUUUGGUUUCACAGGAUGUGACAACAGAGACAUUGGGUAGAAUAUAUGCCUCAUCUUUUAAGAAAACAGAUGAAGGACCCUGAAAGUGAUUCAGGGAUCAUUGGGGCUAUUAUUCCACUGCAGACCAGGAGGUACAAGCCCUUGGUUUCAUAAAGUGGAACGUGCCCUUGGUUUCAUAAAGUGGAACGUUCCCUCAGUUUCAGCAGGACAGGCACCAACACCAUGGAGAGCUAUAUGGUGGAUCUGCCACAUGGACCCCAGGAAGCCCCCACAUGCCUCUGAGCUGAAGGGGCAGAGAAACCCUGUGGAUCUGUGUAUGUGGCACUGCCACCCAGAGGACUUGAAGAAAAGUCUAGAAACCCAAGAGAAUUAUUGUGAAACCUUAAGAUCCAAUGCAAUUUGACUUGCUGGGACUUGACCUUCUUGGACCUAUCAACCUUUCCUUCCUUCUGAUUGCGCCUUCUAUAAUGGAACUAUUUACCCUAUACUGCACACAUUGUAAUUUAGAAGGAUACAACUUAUUUGGUUUUAAAGAUUCUCAGUUGGAGAGGGAUUUUGCCUCAGAGUGAAUCACACCUUGAGUUUCAUCUAUCUAUGUUUUAGAUGAUAUUUAGAUGAAAUUUUGAACUUUAUACUUGGAGUUGUUGCUGGAAUGAAUGAAGACUUUGGAAAC